This 252-nucleotide ribosomal RNA is filed under the name uncultured bacterium. Its description in RNAcentral is "partial 16S ribosomal RNA". It matches the Rfam family "Bacterial small subunit ribosomal RNA", at positions 524 to 776 of the family's 1533-position model. The record is from RNAcentral.
UACGUAGGUGGCAAGCGUUGUCCGGAUUUACUGGGCGUAAAGGAUGCGUAGGCGGACAUUUAAGUCAGAUGUGAAAUACCCGAGCUUAACUUGGGUGCUGCAUUUGAAACUGGGUGUCUAGAGUGCAGGAGAGGUAAGUGGAAUUCCUAGUGUAGCGGUGAAAUGCGUAGAGAUUAGGAAGAACACCAGUGGCGAAGGCGACUUACUGGACUGUAACUGACGCUGAGGCAUGAAAGCGUGGGAGCAAACAGG